CCCUUAGAUGCUCUGGGCAGCACGCGCGCUACAGUGGUCUUCGCAAACGGAUGCAUUCUCGAAGGAGAAUGCCAAUCUUGGAAUCUAUGCCUUGGUCGGGACAGUUGCUUGCAAUUUUUCGACUCGAACCAGGAAUUCCUUGUAAUCGUGAUUCAUCACAUCACGAUGAAUACGUCCCUGCCCUUUGUACACACCGCCCGUCGCUCCUACCGAUCGAAGAGUUAGGUGAAUUGUUUUGAUCGAUAAGAUUUGACUAUGGUCAACUCUCGUUGUGAAAUUCUGUGAAUCUGACUGUUUAGAGGAAGGAAAAGUCGUAACA
Molecule: ribosomal RNA, 319 nt
Filed under: uncultured eukaryote
Lineage: Eukaryota
Description: partial 18S ribosomal RNA
Rfam family: Eukaryotic small subunit ribosomal RNA
Source: RNAcentral